GUCUCAAACUUCUGGCUUCAAACUAUCUGCCUGCCUCAGCCUCCCAAAGUGCUGGGAUUACAGGCGUGAGCACCGUGCCCUGCCUCUCUUCAAGGACUCUCUUUGCUACAUCGGCAUCACCUGGGAACGUGGUAGGGCUACAGAAUCUUGGGCCCCACCUUGGACCUACCUAAUCGUCAUCUUAUUCAUUGGUGUUCCCUUCGCCAGAGACCAGGUCGAUUGUCUUGGAGAAUGUCCCACAUUCAGCAUUUGUCUGCAUGCUUCCUUAUGGUGCCAUGCUCUUGUCCCUCUAUUCCAAGUGAGUGGAAGUUAGCUGGAGAAGUUUGACUAAAUUCAGGAUCAAGUUUUUGUGACAAGAAUAUUUCCUAGCUGGUGCUAUGUGCAUUUGCAUGGCAUCAGGAGGCAGAUGAUAUCUAGUUGGAAACAAGACUUUGGAUUUUACAAGCUAUGCUUUUGUAAGGAAAGGAACACAUUUAAAGGAGCUUUUUGACUGCUGUGCAAAGAAGAGACUGUGUAGGGCUGGGAGACAGAGCGAGGCGACUGUGAGAAUCCAGGCGGCACACAAUGGGGGCCCUGCCGGAGGUGCUGGCA
This 591-nucleotide long non-coding RNA is filed under the name Homo sapiens (human). RNAcentral describes it as "HSALNT0403849". The record is from RNAcentral. Lineage: Eukaryota; Metazoa; Chordata; Mammalia; Primates; Hominidae.